This 25-nucleotide non-coding RNA is filed under the name Mus musculus (house mouse). The record is from RNAcentral. Lineage: Eukaryota; Metazoa; Chordata; Mammalia; Rodentia; Muridae.
UCCUUGCAUUAGGGAUAAAAGAGGC